AUGCUAAGAACGUGCUGGAAGUUGACAGUGUGUGCAAAGUCCCUGGUCCUGCCCCUGCAGAGACUGCACAGUCGGGGGCGCCUUCUUCCGGGAGUAACCUGUGCCCGCGCAAAGUCACACCACGCGGUUACUUGGUCUUUCGUUGCUGUCAGUUUUCAUGUGUGGCGAGACACCCGCACGACCACAUUGACGCGUAGUCCUAAGUGUAUCCGAAAGGUGUGCCCCGAACAACGGCAUGUUCCGUCUUGCAAAAUCGGACUCCUGUCCCCGAUCAACAACAGACAGGGCCUCGUCCCCGCCUCCGCGCUGCUCUCUGUCUCCGUGAAGCUGACGACCCGAGAGAGACUCAGGCGAGCGGAGUCAGACAGCGUUGUCUCUGCAUCACUGGCUUAUCUCUCUGCGCAUCCUGCCUCCGAGGCCCAGCCCAGCUGCAGCCUGUGCGAGAGGCCCUUUCUCUUCGAGGCGGGGCCGGGCUCCGCUGUGUGCGUGGACCACGCCGUGUUUACCAUCGUCCCCGGGGUGAAGCGGGCUGGCAGGCCAGGCUUGCUCACGGGACUAUUGCACGUCUGUGGGAAGAGAUGUGAGUUCAAGUGAAGGAAUGUGCGUGGGCACACUCGUGCGCCGAGAGCGGUGAUUAUGCUAACGAGCGUCCCGAGGAUGCGGCCCCACGGCUGCCGUCCUUCUGACUCAGGUUGAUCGGCCGCCUUCCGAGGUGCUGUCAGCUUUGCACGUGCUGUCCUUCAGCCCCAUUAUCUUCCCGUCUUGUUCGAGUGCAGUUGUUUUCCUGAGGCCUCAGGGUGGGAUUGAUUUACUGAGCCUGGUAAAUCCCAUCUGCUAGCUUCAGACUGUCAUUCUCACCUGCCGAGGUCAUUGUGGUUGUUGACUCUGUCAUCUGCCCUUCUGCCCUGCUCUCCUGGGUUUAUGUCCUCUUCAUAUUUGAUAUCUCUGUCCCUCCGUCCAUCCAUCCGUCUGUCCACCCAUCCGUCCGUCUGUCCGUCCGUCCAUCCGUCCCUCUGUCUGUCCAGCGACUUUCUAUAGUGUACCCUACUGUGUGCAGCCUCUGUGCUAAGCUCUGGGUACAGGGGUGAGCAGAACAGAAAGGAAUCUGGGUUCUCCUGGAGCUUUCACUGGGGUAGAGAAGACAGACACUAAACCAAGACGCACGGGUUACGGGGACGGCAUGGUACUGACAGGUGCCACAGAGAAAAGGGAAGCGGGGACGACGGAUGGGGUGGGGGCAGCCAGAGGAAACCGUGCGGAAGGGUGGUGUCCGCGCGGAGACUGGAGGGUGUUUCUAUCCAGUUCUUUGGAAAACACGGUGAAGAGGAACUCAGCCUCUCUGUAGGUUGACGUUGAUGCAGUAACAGCCUCUCUGUAGGUUGACGUUGAUGCAGUAACUGGCACCUUUGGGGUUCACCUGACUUUCCACUGAAACUCUAUACCUUCAGUGUCUAACCUGCAUUUCUCCACACUCUUCUGUUUUUUUUUUUUUUUUUUUUUUUUUACUUUUUAGGGCUGCGUGUGCGGCAUAUGGAAGUUCCCAGGGUAGGGGCCGAAUCAGAGCUUCAGCUGCCGGCACCACAGCCACAGCAACACCAGAUCCAAGCCGCAUUUGUGACCCACACCACAGCUCACGGCAACACUGGAUUCUUCACCCACUGAGCGAGGCCAGGGCUCGAUCCCGCGUCCCCAUCGUUGCCAGUUGGGUUCGUUACGGCUGAGCCACAGCGGGAACUCCUCUGCUUCUUAAAGACGUUUGAGGAACAUGGGAACCUGGAUGCUAGGCGUCCAGGGCGUUCUGGUGCCGGCCGGUCAGACCUUAGGGAGAUGAGGCCAGCGUGAAAGGCAGUUUUCCCCUUGUGGCCACGGCUGAGCCGGGACGGCUGCUGUGGCGGGGGUCGGGGACAGGACUCGUGGGCUGCAGCUAUAAACUGCAGGUGAAAAGACCAAAACUCCGGGAGAGUCAGGAUUUCCCUGGGGAAGGCUUGGCAGAGGUCCCUCUGCACAAACCCUCCCCUGGGGUCACCGUCUCAGUCCAAACCCAAAUCCGCCCCUCUCUGCAGGGCUUGGUUCCUGGAGGACGGAGCCUGUGCAAGGCCUGUUGGGGCUGCAGGGUGGCCCUGCCCAGGUGAGCAGCUGUUAUCUUCAGACUCACCUGCAGGCUGCAGUGUUGCCACGACUCUCUUCUCAUCCACACAUGGGGCUGGGCUCUCCGAGCCCAGGCUUGGCAGAGGCUUCAGGCUGAUGCCGAAUUCACACGGGAGGCAGAGCGUGUGAGGUGACCGUGCGCACGGAGCAUAAAGGUCACACAGGGCCCGCGUCAGGCCCCGAGUAAGCAAAGCGCCUCUUGGCUUCUCUGGCCCAGUUGCUUCAUCUGUAAAGUCCGUGGACCGGGCCAGGUUCUCUCCAGAGCUGCUUCUCCGCCCCUGAAAUUCCGGUGCUGUGCAUUGGUUUUAUUAGCGGCAACCGGGGCAGCAACACCUUAGACCCCGAUUUCGAAGAAACUUGUCACGACGGAGGAGGAGCACGUGACGUGAGGAGGGGCUGGGGCAGGACAGGACGCCGGGAGCUCAGAGGCCCAACAGGAGGCGCAGUCCCAGUUGGUGAGCAAGGCCAAGGGGUCGGGACGGGACCGCUGGAUUUGGCGGGAAAGCUCCACGGCGGCCACAGCGGGAUGGGGUGGCCUCCGAGCCUGCUGGGCAGCCGGACCCCGACCCCCCCCCCGGGGGGGUCUCCAGCGCUGCUCCCAGACCCAUUGGCACCGUGCGGGAGGAGAUGCAGGUGCUGUCUCCUUUCCAGAGGGCAGAGCCGUGCCACCUUCGUGCCGCCCUGGUCAGAAUGGCCCUUUGUUCUGCUGCUUCGUGACUCAUGACUCUGCCAUGAGGAGGCUUAUGCAACCUGGGGCGGCAGAGCCCGGGAGCAGCGUGCGAUCCUCGGAAAGCCGGCCCGGCCUGCCGUUGCGC
This 2963-nucleotide long non-coding RNA is filed under the name Sus scrofa (pig). RNAcentral's name for it is "lncRNA (ENSSSCG00060063292.1)". Lineage: Eukaryota; Metazoa; Chordata; Mammalia; Artiodactyla; Suidae. The record is from RNAcentral.